Molecule: ribosomal RNA, 251 nt
Filed under: uncultured prokaryote
Description: partial 16S rRNA
Rfam family: Bacterial small subunit ribosomal RNA
Source: RNAcentral
ACGUAGGAGGCAAACGUUAUCCGGAUUUACUGGGCGUAAAGCGCGUGUAGGUGGUUUGGUAAGUAGAGCGUGAAAGCUCCUGGCUCAACUGGGAGAGGUCGUUCUAAACUGCCGGACUAGAGGAUGGUAGAGGGAGGUGGAAUUCCGGGUUUAGCGGUGGAAUGCGCAGAUAUCCGGAGGAACGCCAGUGGCGAAGGCGGCCUACUGGACCACUCCUGUGUCUCAGACGCGAAAGCGAGGGUAGCAAACGG